CCUACGGGUGGCAGCAGUGGGGAAUAUUGGGCAAUGGGCGCAAGCCUGACCCAGCAACGCCGCGUGAAGGAAGAAGGCUUUCGGGUUGUAAACUUCUUUUCUCAGGGACGAAGCAAGUGACGGUACCUGAGGAAUAAGCUACGGCUAACUACGUGCCAGCAGCCGCGGUAAUACGUAGGUGGCAAGCGUUAUCCGGAUGUACUGGGUGUAAAGGGCGUGUAGGCGGGGCGGCAAGUCAGAUGUGAAAACCACGGGCUCAACCUGGGACCUGCAUUUGAAACUGUGUUUCUUGAGUACUGGAGAGGCAGAUAGAAUUCCGAGUGUAGCGGUGAAAUGCGUAGAGAUUAGGAGGAACACCAGUGGCGAAGGCGGUCUGCUGGAC
RNAcentral lists this ribosomal RNA (382 nucleotides) under uncultured bacterium. RNAcentral describes it as "partial 16S ribosomal RNA". It matches the Rfam family "Bacterial small subunit ribosomal RNA", at positions 338 to 734 of the family's 1533-position model. The record is from RNAcentral.